Molecule: unclassified non-coding RNA, 156 nt
Filed under: uncultured Botryosphaeriaceae
Lineage: Eukaryota; Fungi; Ascomycota; Dothideomycetes; Botryosphaeriales; Botryosphaeriaceae
Description: sequence contains ITS1
Source: RNAcentral
CCGAGUUCUCGAGCUUCGGCUCGAAUCUCCCACCCUUUGUGAACAUACCUCUGUUGCUUUGGCGGCUCGAGAGCGCCUCGUGCGAUCGCGACCGCCAGAGGACCUUAAAACUCCAGUCAGUAAACGUCUACGUCUGAUAAACAAGUUAAUAAACUA